Molecule: ribosomal RNA, 539 nt
Filed under: uncultured Halanaerobium sp.
Lineage: Bacteria; Bacillati; Bacillota; Clostridia; Halanaerobiales; Halanaerobiaceae
Description: bacterial SSU rRNA
Rfam family: Bacterial small subunit ribosomal RNA
Source: RNAcentral
AAAAGCUCACCAGGGCGACAAUCUAUAGCUGGUCUGAGAGGACGAUCAGUCACACUGGAACUGAGACACGGUCCAGACUCCUACGGGAGGCAGCAGUGGGGAAUCUUCCACAAUGGGCGCAAGCCUGAUGGAGCAACGCCGCGUGAGUGAAGAAGGUCUUAGGAUUGUAAAGCUCUGUCCUUAGGGAAGAACCGUGGGUGUAGGUAAUGGCACCCAUCUGACGGUACCUUUGGAGGAAGCACUGGCUAACUACGUGCCAGCAGCCGCGGUAAUACGUAGAGUGCAAGCGUUGUCCGGAAUUAUUGGGCGUAAAGGGUACGCAGGCGGAUAAUCAAGUCAAGCGUGAAAGGUGUCGGCUUAACCGACAGACUGCGUUUGAAACUGAUUACUUGAGUGUAACAGAGGAGAGCGGAAUUCCUAGUGUAGUGGUGAAAUACGUAGAUAUUAGGAAGAACACCAGUGGCGAAGGCGGUUCUCUGGGUUAACACUGACGCUGAGGUACGAAAGCUGGGGGAGCGAACGGGAUUAGAUACCCCGGU